Molecule: ribosomal RNA, 253 nt
Filed under: uncultured bacterium
Lineage: Bacteria
Description: partial 16S ribosomal RNA
Rfam family: Bacterial small subunit ribosomal RNA
Source: RNAcentral
UACGGGGGGGGCAAGCGUUGUUCGGAAUUACUGGGCGUAAAGGGCGCGUAGGCGGCCUGCUAAGUCGGACGUGAAAUCCCUCGGCUCAACCGGGGAACUGCGUCCGAUACUGGUGGGCUCGAAUCCGGGAGAGGGAUGUGGAAUUCCAGGUGUAGCGGUGAAAUGCGUAGAUAUCUGGAGGAACACCGGUGGCGAAGGCGGCAUCCUGGACCGGUAUUGACGCUGAGGCGCGAAAGCCAGGGGAGCAAACGGG